AGCGACAGAAGAAAGCACCGGCUAACUCCGUGCCAGCAGCCGCGGUAAUACGGAGGGUGCGAGCGUUAAUCGGAAUUACUGGGCGUAAAGCGCAUGCAGGUGGUUUGUUAAGUCAGAUGUGAAAGACCCGGGGCGUCAACCUCGGAAUAGCAUUUGUAAACUAGGCAGACUAGAGUACUGUAGAGGGGGGUAGGAAUUUCAGGUGUAGCGGUGAAAUGCGUAGAGAUCUGAAGGAAUACCGGUGGCGAAGGCGGCCCCCUCGGACAGAUACUGACACUCAGAUGCGAAAGCGUGGGGAGCAAACAGGAUUAGAUACCCUGGUAG
RNAcentral lists this ribosomal RNA (324 nucleotides) under uncultured bacterium. Its description in RNAcentral is "bacterial SSU rRNA". It matches the Rfam family "Bacterial small subunit ribosomal RNA", at positions 476 to 793 of the family's 1533-position model. The record is from RNAcentral.